AGAGGAGGCGCCAUCAUGACGAAGUCAUGAUUCGGAAUGGCGCCGACGAGUGGCCGCCGAGCGAAGACGAGGGGGCAUUUCAUU
Molecule: small RNA, 84 nt
Filed under: bovine gut metagenome
Description: GA-cis RNA
Rfam family: GA-cis RNA
Source: RNAcentral